Molecule: ribosomal RNA, 140 nt
Filed under: uncultured bacterium
Lineage: Bacteria
Description: partial 16S ribosomal RNA
Rfam family: Bacterial small subunit ribosomal RNA
Source: RNAcentral
CAGCCAUGUAGCGUGCAGGAUGACAGGCCCUAAUGGGUUGUAAACUGCUUUUAUGUGGGGAUAAAGUGCGUGACGUGUCAUGCAUUGCAGGUACCACAUGAAUAAGGACCGGCUAAUUCCGUGCCAGCAGCCGCGGUAAU